Molecule: transfer RNA, 88 nt
Filed under: Streptomyces asoensis
Lineage: Bacteria; Bacillati; Actinomycetota; Actinomycetes; Kitasatosporales; Streptomycetaceae
Description: tRNA-Leu
Source: RNAcentral
GCGGGUCGCGGCCGGCGGUACGGCGAUGGACCCUCAGGUGAUCCAGCAGCUGCUGGCCCGGCGUUCGGGUGACGGCCGGGGGCCCGUG